RNAcentral lists this ribosomal RNA (886 nucleotides) under Mannheimia haemolytica. RNAcentral's name for it is "partial 23S ribosomal RNA". It matches the Rfam family "Bacterial large subunit ribosomal RNA", at positions 1 to 927 of the family's 2925-position model. Lineage: Bacteria; Pseudomonadati; Pseudomonadota; Gammaproteobacteria; Pasteurellales; Pasteurellaceae. The record is from RNAcentral.
AGUUAAGUGACUAAGCGCACAAGGUGGAUGCCUUGGCAAUCAGAGGCGAAGAAGGACGUGCUAAUCUGCGAAAAGCUUGGAUGAGUCGAUAAGAGGCGUUUAAUCCAAGAUGUCCGAAUGGGGAAACCCAGUAGGUGAAGAACCUACUAUCACCCAGUGAAUACAUAGCUGUGUGAGGCAAACCGGGAGAACUGAAACAUCUAAGUACCCCGAGGAAAAGAAAUCAACCGAGAUUUCGUUAGUAGCGGCGAGCGAACGCGAAAGAGCCAGUUAGUGAUAGCAGUAAAGUUAGGGGAAUGUUCUGGGAAGGACAAUCGUAGAGGGUGAUAAUCCCGUACCUUAAAACUCCAUUGUGGUACUAGGCUAACAACAAGUAGGGCGGGACACGUGAUAUCCUGUUUGAAGAUGGGGGGACCAUCCUCCAAGGCUAAAUACUCCUGAUUGACCGAUAGUGAACCAGUACUGUGAAGGAAAGGUGAAAAGAACCCCGGCGAGGGGAGUGAAAUAGAACCUGAAACCUUGUGCGUACAAGCAGUGGGAGCAAGAGUAAUCUUGUGACUGCGUACCUUUUGUAUAAUGGGUCAGCGACUUAUAUUUUGUAGCAAGGUUAACUGAAUAAGGGAGCCGUAGGGAAACCGAGUCUUAACUGGGCGUGUAGUUGCAAGGUAUAGACCCGAAACCCGGUGAUCUAGCCAUGGGCAGGUUGAAGGUUGGGUAACACUAACUGGAGGACCGAACCGACUAAUGUUGAAAAAUUAGCGGAUGACUUGUGGCUGGGGGUGAAAGGCCAAUCAAACCGGGAGAUAGCUGGUUCUCCCCGAAAUCUAUUUAGGUAGAGCCUUGAGCGGACACCUUCGGGGGUAGAGCACUGUUUCGGCUAGGGGUC